CUUUCUCUCUAUCUCACACAAGCAAGAAGCUCCCCCAUCCUUCUACUGAUUUCUUUUUCUUCUUGCUCACGUCCCCUUCAUCUCAUUUCUUCUCUCCAGAGUCCCUUCUUCUUCGUGGCCACCACUCCACCCACCACCAGAAGUCCACACGUCAAGCAACCCCUCAUUUCAGUUUUUCCUUAGCUCCAUCUCCCUUUCAUUUCUGUUGCCGCCAACAUCACCCUCACUUCACCCAUCACCAACACUCCAUCACCUCACCACCGAGCAGCCAAGGCAGCUGCAGCUUCACCUGGCUAGCAGCGCCACCUCAGCUAGCCCGCCAGCAGCCACCAAAGCCCAGCAACUCAGCCUCAAAUAGAAUCGAAUCCAGCUUUGGCCGUGAACUUCACUGGCCUUUUCAACCUCCGUUGAGUCUCCGUUGGAGAUGCAGUAGUCUUGGGUUCUCACUGCCAUUGCGCCACCAUCGCCAUGAGCAUACCACCGUCCUAAUCCAAUGAAGGUUGAGUAAGGGGGGCGGAGAUGUAUGUGGGCUGCUUGCCUCGUCCCAAAUAGACGAAAUGCAAGAGUGCUCCCAUUUUUUGCUUCCUCUUCAUUACGAGCCCUCUCCAAGAAUGUUUUUGUAGAUUCCGGCUCUUUUGAAUGUGAAUAGUGAGUGAAAUCCCUUGUGCUUGUUGGACAAUGCAUAUUUGGUGAUGUGGUUGACUUUUGGCAUGCUUAGAAUUUAUGCAUGAUGAUAUGUGAAUGGUUGUUCUAUGGU
Molecule: long non-coding RNA, 757 nt
Organism: Eucalyptus grandis
Lineage: Eukaryota; Viridiplantae; Streptophyta; Magnoliopsida; Myrtales; Myrtaceae
Exons: 2
Source: RefSeq, a predicted model, not a curated record